CCCAUACAAGCAACUGAACUGCCUGUGAUGUCAUAAUCACAAUCCUAUUACCUCACUCUGCUUGGGUCCAUACAAGAAGGAGGAAUAGUGAACAGCCCUGGACCCUCUUCAGUUUUACAAAGUGUUCUGGGAUAGGGUUAACUACAGAAACAAGUGAGAAGGGACCCCACAUCGCUAUAAAUUCUAGGUUUAUAAGGUCUGAGCCAAUCUCGAAGCUGGAGGAGGGGCUCCUGGCCCUAAAACAGGCCCCUUAGGACUUUGGACUACACUUCCCAGCAGCCUUCACACCAGCAUCCAGGUUGGGUUGUCCACUGGCAGAAGGGGGGAGGGGUCCUUCAGAGAGGGGCUGUGGAGGGCAGAGCAGAAGGGCAGAGGGGACGGUGAGGGGAGCCUUAACUACUGCUCUUAAGAGACAGGAAAACAAAGAAAAAAAAAAAAAAAAGCACACAAAUUCAGAUCCUUUGAGGACCUGCCUCCCCCCAAACCAGAAACCAAAACUAAACAAAAACAAGUCCUGUAUGUAAAUCUGUGUGUGCUCAUAGUUGGUUUCCUGGGAAAUCUGACCAUAAACAGUUGAAGCCAGGAGUCAACCAAAGUAGCAAGCUCUAAAAUGGGAGUUUGGAGUUGGGUUGAUUGCUGCUGGUUGGCUGCAAAGACCCUAUCAUUAGUGGUAGUUGGAUCACUAAUAAAAACCCCAUGGUUAGUGGUAGUGGUGUAAUUAUGGAACUUUGAGUGCUGUUGAACUGAGAUUAAAUACCAGUCAAAAGGAAUGUACUUGGAAAGAGCAAUGGCUCAGGGUUUUGAGAGUUAGAUAGGAAUUAGUAACAAUAACUUUAUGGAAUCCAAUGGAUGUUGCUGAGUUCAAUUAAUGCUUUAGAAAGACUGAGGAUGAUUAAUCUCUAAUUAAAACCUAACCGUGAAAGCCAGAUGGCCUCCUUGGCAGCUUGUAAAGGGACUCUGAUUUUGUGCAGCUGGAACACAGAAAACGCUCAGGAUCUGGGCUGACUUAAUUAUGAGAGAAGCAGCUUCAGAUCUGGGCUAAAAUAAGGACAGUGGAUUUAUGAUGUGUUCUUAAAGCCUGAAACUCCCCAGAGGACCCUUAAGAUUUGCUCAACCAUCUCCAGGUUGCAUAAACCCCAAAUAAAACCUAUUGAUCUUGGUACAAUCAAUUUUUUCCUCAUUUUACUCCACCAUCAAUGAGGACUA
Non-coding RNA from Microcebus murinus (gray mouse lemur), 1206 nucleotides. The record is from RefSeq and is a predicted model, not a curated record. Lineage: Eukaryota; Metazoa; Chordata; Mammalia; Primates; Cheirogaleidae.